Molecule: ribosomal RNA, 253 nt
Filed under: uncultured bacterium
Lineage: Bacteria
Description: partial 16S ribosomal RNA
Rfam family: Bacterial small subunit ribosomal RNA
Source: RNAcentral
UACAGAGGUCCCGAGCGUUGUUCGGAUUCACUGGGCGUAAAGGGUGCGUAGGUGGUGAGGUAAGUCGGAUGUGAAAUCUCCGGGCUCAACCCGGAAAUGGCAUUGGAAACUACCUUGCUGGAGGAUUUGAGGGGGGAUUGGAAUACUUGGUGUAGCAGUGAAAUGCGCAGAUAUCGGGAGGAACACCAAUGGCGAAGGCAGCUCGCUGGGACGGUACUGACGCUGAGGCGCGAAAGCGUGGGGAGCAAACAGG